ACCACCUAAGGGUUCGGCUAAUGGAUUGUUAAGCCUAGGCUUAACUCGGGCUCUCCCAAGCCCAUUCCAAUUCGCGACUUAGGUUCAAGUUCUUAAUAUGCAAAUGAUGUUUAUCAUGGAGUCGCCACUAAUCUAUUUUUGGUGGGUCGAUUAGAAACCCAAGUAAAGUAAUGGGAGAAUUACUUCACUCCUACGAACCAGAGAUUGUGAGUUCGGGGACUUGGUUACACUAGAUUUCUCUAAUGCCCUUUCGGUACCAUUUCUUUUUAUUUGAAAAAAAUAUUUUGCAGGCAGCUUGAAUUGAUUUUAAUUUAUCAUCCUAACAUGGGAGGUGAUCAUGCGGAUGCGCAAACCACCAAUUUAACACCCAAGAAAGCGAUGAAUAAAUCGCAGGACUUACCUCAUAGCAACGAAAGCAUCUGCAUUGUUAGAUCAGAAUUCACAUCAACAGACCUAGAUAUGAUUUCUAAUUAACAUGCAAUUUUCCUUUUUUUUUUUUGGUUUUUACUUACUUAAUGGGAAUCAUGCAAUAUGCAAUGCAUGCUAUUAAUCUAACAUGAAAUGGCAUGACGAUGUUUUCUAAACUACAUGACGUGAGUAAAAUAUUUUUUUUUAUGUUUUCUUAAUGAAUAUGCAAUAAUUAAAUAUGCAAAUCAAAAUGACCUAAUUAUAAUGACGGGCAAUUUUUUU
This 690-nucleotide long non-coding RNA is filed under the name Eucalyptus grandis. Its description in RNAcentral is "long non-coding RNA (EGRA_LNC006652)". Lineage: Eukaryota; Viridiplantae; Streptophyta; Magnoliopsida; Myrtales; Myrtaceae. The record is from RNAcentral.